GAUGAAGAACGUAGCGAAAUGCGAUAAGUAGUGUGAAUUGCAGAAUUCAGUGAAUCAUCGAAUCUUUGAACGCACAUUGCGCCUCCUGGUAUUCCGGGAGGCAUGCCUGUUCGAGCGUCAUUAAAAUCACUCAAGCUUAGGUUUACCUAUUGCUUGGUCUUGGAGAUGGAAGCCAAUUUAUUGGAAUCCUCUUCGAAAUUCAAUGGCGAAGACCCUUGCUCUCCCAAGUGUAGUAAUAACUUAUGUCACUGAAGGAAGCGAGAAAUCUUCUGCCGUAACCCCCAUAUUUUCUAUGAUUGACCUCGGAUCAGGUAGGGAUACCCGCUGAACUUAAGCAUAUCAAUAAGCGGAGGGA
RNAcentral lists this unclassified non-coding RNA (355 nucleotides) under soil metagenome. RNAcentral describes it as "partial contains 5.8S ribosomal RNA, internal transcribed spacer 2, and large subunit ribosomal RNA". The stretch from base 1 to 120 matches the Rfam family "5.8S ribosomal RNA", at positions 35 to 154 of the family's 154-position model. The record is from RNAcentral.